GACGAACGCUGGCGGCGUGCCUAAUACAUGCAAGUAGAACGCAGUUUCGAACGGGUGAGUAACGCGUCGGUAACUGCCUCAUAGCGGGGGAUAACUAUCUGAAACGAUAGCUAAUACCGCCUACUUGGGGAUGGAUCUGCGUUGGAUUUUCUAGUUGGUGGGGUAAAGGCUCACCAAGGCGCCGAUACAUAGCCGACCUGGGAGGGUGAUCAGCCACCAUUGGACCUAGACACGGCCCAGGUUCCCAAGGGAGGCAGGAAUUGGGAAUUUUCGGAAAUUGGGCGAAGGCUUGACGAGCCACGCCGCGUGAUUGAAGGAGGUUUUUGGAGCGUAAAGCUCUGUUGUUAGGGAAGCGGUAACUAACCAAAAAGCGACGGCUAACUACGUGCCAGCAGCCGCGGUAAUAC
Molecule: ribosomal RNA, 407 nt
Filed under: uncultured bacterium
Lineage: Bacteria
Description: partial 16S ribosomal RNA
Rfam family: Bacterial small subunit ribosomal RNA
Source: RNAcentral